RNAcentral lists this ribosomal RNA (465 nucleotides) under Vreelandella stevensii. RNAcentral describes it as "partial 16S ribosomal RNA". It matches the Rfam family "Bacterial small subunit ribosomal RNA", at positions 338 to 795 of the family's 1533-position model. The record is from RNAcentral. Lineage: Bacteria; Pseudomonadati; Pseudomonadota; Gammaproteobacteria; Oceanospirillales; Halomonadaceae.
CCUACGGGAGGCAGCAGUGGGGAAUAUUGGACAAUGGGGGGAACCCUGAUCCAGCCAUGCCGCGUGUGUGAAGAAGGCCCUCGGGUUGUAAAGCACUUUCAGUGAGGAAGAACGCCUGGUGGUUAAUACCCAUCAGGAAAGACAUCACUCACAGAAGAAGCACCGGCUAACUCCGUGCCAGCAGCCGCGGUAAUACGGAGGGUGCGAGCGUUAAUCGGAAUUACUGGGCGUAAAGCGCGCGUAGGUGGCUUGAUAAGCCGGUUGUGAAAGCCCCGGGCUCAACCUGGGAACGGCAUCCGGAACUGUCAAGCUAGAGUGCAGGAGAGGAAGGUAGAAUUCCCGGUGUAGCGGUGAAAUGCGUAGAGAUCGGGAGGAAUACCAGUGGCGAAGGCGGCCUUCUGGACUGACACUGACACUGAGGUGUGAAAGCGUGGGUAGCAAACAGGAUUAGAUACCCGAGUAGUC